UCAGAGUGAUAGUCUGUCACAGACAACUGCCUCUCCUGAAUCAAGUUGCCCAUGAAAAACAAUGGAGUUGUUUCUGGGUUUCUUGGGCCAGUCUCAGAAGUGAAGGGGACCGGAGGCUACAACUUUGUGAGUCUUGAAAGGUCAGGAGAAUGAAUCACCAAGUGAUCUAUGAGGGAAGCAUAUUCUACAGUUUGCAGACAGUCAGUCUAGCCCUGGGACCUUGAGGAGUAAGGAGUGACUAUCAAAACCCAGCCCCUUGGAGUUGUGGGUAGGACUCAUAUGGCAGCGAUGCCCAUUUGGACAUGAACUUGGUGGGACAAGUGCCAUGUAGAAACUGCAUUAAGUGUGAGCUCACUGUCCCUAGAGCCUGAAAUAACAUGAGGGAGACUAUACUCCCAAUUUGUCGGGAGCUAUUUCUGUUCUUGCUAUAUCUCCAAAAUGAAUAUCCC
RNAcentral lists this long non-coding RNA (449 nucleotides) under Monodelphis domestica (gray short-tailed opossum). Its description in RNAcentral is "lncRNA (ENSMODG00000045852.1)". Lineage: Eukaryota; Metazoa; Chordata; Mammalia; Didelphimorphia; Didelphidae. The record is from RNAcentral.